Molecule: ribosomal RNA, 261 nt
Filed under: uncultured bacterium
Lineage: Bacteria
Description: partial 16S ribosomal RNA
Rfam family: Bacterial small subunit ribosomal RNA
Source: RNAcentral
UACGUAGGGUGCAAGCGUUGUCCGGAAUUAUUGGGCGUAAAGAGCUCGUAGGCGGUGUGUCGCGUCGGCCGUGAAAACCUGCAGCUUAACUGUGGGCGUGCGGUCGAUACGGGCAUCACUGGAGUUCGGCAGGGGAGACUGGAAUUCCUGGUGAUAGCGGUGAAAUGCGCAGAUAUCAGGAGGAACACCGAUGGCGAAGGCAGGUCUCUGGGCAUUAAACUGACGCUGGAGGAAGCGGAAAGCCAUGGGGAGCGAACAGGA